Molecule: ribosomal RNA, 600 nt
Filed under: Enterococcus mundtii
Lineage: Bacteria; Bacillati; Bacillota; Bacilli; Lactobacillales; Enterococcaceae
Description: bacterial SSU rRNA
Rfam family: Bacterial small subunit ribosomal RNA
Source: RNAcentral
GGGACAGACGCUUGCGCGGCGUGCUUAAUACAUGCAAGUCGAACGCUUCUUUUCCCACCGGAGCUUGCUCCACCGGGAAAAGAGGAGUGGCGAACGGGUGAGUAACACGUGGGUAACCUGCCCAUCAGAAGGGGAUAACACUUGGAAACAGGUGCUAAUACCGUAUAACAAUCGAAACCGCAUGGUUUCUUUUUGAAAGGCGCUUUACGGUGCCGCUGAUGGAUGGACCCGCGGUGCAUUAGCUAGUUGGUGAGGUAACCGCUCACCAAGGCCACGAUGCAUAGCCGACCUGAGAGGGUGAUCGGCCACAUUGGGACUGAGACACGGCCCAAACUCCUACGGGAGUCAGCAGUAGGGAAUCUUCGUCAAUGGACGAAAGUCUGACCGAGCAACGCCGCGUGAGUGAAGAAGGUUUUCGGAUCGUAAAACUCUGUUGUUAGAGAAGAACAAGGGUGAGAGUAACUGUUCACCCCUUGACGGUAUCUAACCAGAAAGCCACGGCUAACUACGUGCCAGCAGCCGCGUAAUACGUAGGUGGCAAGCGUUGUCGGAUUAUCGGCGUAAGCGAGCGCAGGCGCUUUCUUAGUCUGAUGUGAUGUC